Cyprinus carpio (common carp) is the source of this 298-nucleotide long non-coding RNA. The record is from Ensembl. NCBI's taxonomy places the organism in Eukaryota, Metazoa, Chordata, Actinopteri, Cypriniformes, Cyprinidae.
AAAUGUUUUUUUUUUCUUGUAAACUUUAAGUUUUCUUCUAGAUCUGUUCUCCGAUUGAACGUGUCUCCCAUGUGUCUGAUUGGAGUGAUGCUGGGCAACUACUGCAAAAACACAAAGGACGGACUGAACAUGACUAUUUUCACUUCCCUGAGAAACCUAGUUCAAGUGCUCAUGUGAAGUCAAGUUCUUCCGUUUUCCUUCCAAAAUCUACUAUAAAGGAAGACAGCUUUUUUUCUCCAACCCGUAAAAAAAAAUAAAAAAAAAUAAAACAAAUCUUGCUCUCUUCCCUCUGAAAAGA